GAUGAACGCUGGCGGCGUGCCUAAUACAUGCAAGUCGAGCGAACAGAUCAGGAGCUUGCUCCUUUGACGUUAGCGGCGGACGGGUGAGUAACACGUGGGUAACCUACCUAUAAGACUGGUAUAACUCCGGGAAACCGGGGCUAAUGCCGGAUAACAUUUAGAACCGCAUGGUUCUAAAGUGAAAGAUGGUUUUGCUAUCACUUAUAGAUGGACCCGCGCCGUAUUAGCUAGUUGGUAAGUUAACGGCUUACCAAGGCAACGAUACGUAGCCGACCUGAGAGAGUGAUAGGCGACAUGAGAGGGGGGACAGGGACAAGACGACUACGAGAGGGAGCAGUAGGGAAUGGGAGGCAAUGGGCGAAAGCAUGACGGAGCAACGCCGAGUGAGAGAUGAAGGUCUUCGGAGCGUAAAACUCGGUUAUUAGGGAAGAACAAAUGUGUAAGGAACUGUGCACGUCGUGACGGUAACGAAUAAGAAAGCCACGGCUAACUACGUG
RNAcentral lists this ribosomal RNA (497 nucleotides) under uncultured bacterium. RNAcentral's name for it is "partial 16S ribosomal RNA". It matches the Rfam family "Bacterial small subunit ribosomal RNA", at positions 28 to 507 of the family's 1533-position model. The record is from RNAcentral.